UAACAACACAUGUUCCUUGUUGAAAAAUCGGAAAAUGAAGAUAAGAAAAACCCAGUUGCAGCACCCAGACACAGAACACUUACCAUUUUGAAUUUCUCCUUCCGGCCCGCCCCCACACAUCCCUGUGUCCAUGUCUUAAGUUGCCUGAAACUGCACGUGGCUCCUCAGGCUGCAGACCAGAGUCCUGCCCUAGGAGCGCACCUGGCACACAGCAGGCACAGAGCCCGUGGGGCCGCAGGGCCUCAUCUCAUGCUGUAGAGAACGUCGGUGCCCCUGCCCCAAACUCCUGUUGAAACCUUAACCCCCAAUGUGACUGUGUCAGGGCCUUGGGAGGUGCUCUGGCCAGGCGCUCAGAGGGGGGCCCGAGGGGCCAGCUGGUACAAUCACGGCUGCCUCUCGGUGCUUCCACAUCACCAAAUUUUAGAACAAUGAGGCAUCCUUGCCCCUCACACACAGCCAACUCCUACUCAUCCUUCAAAGCCUCGCUCAAUGGUCCUGCUCUGAGUUCCCGGCAACUCCGCCGCCCACUACAAGAUCAAAAGUGUGGCCUGGCAAGUUCCCAUCGUGGCGCAGUGGUAAUGAACCCAACUUGGAUCCAUGAGGACACAGGCUCGAUGCCUGGCCCUGCUUAGUGGGGUGAGGACCCAUGCUGCUGUGGCACAGGCACAGCUGCAGCUCCAAUUCGCCCCCUGGCCUGGCCACUUCCCCAUAUACCGCAGGUGUGGCCCUAAAAAGACAAACAGCGGGGCACGGACCGAGUCUCACCUGGAAAGUGGAGAUGGGAAGGGAGCUGAGGCGAGGCCUGGGUGCUGGGGGCAAAGGUGGGGAGGGCCCCGGCACACCCUCGCACCUCAUGCUGUGCUUGCAGCCCCACAGCCCAGGAGCUGCUGAGGAGGGGGGUUGACGGCAGGGCUCCCAGAAAUUCCAAGGGAGCGUGCCUGGGUGCUCCUUUUCACAACCUGCUCUCCGCCUGUGCUUCCCUUUCUCCGGAAGAGAUGUUAUUUCAUCUCAGAACACCCGCAACUAAUCCGAAAAUCAGACUGUUCCUGCAGGACCUGACUUCAGCCAUGAACCAGGUAAGCCGAGUGGGACACCCUGGUUGUCAACACUUGGGCCUGCCAUCCCCAGGGCAGUGGUGCAAGCCACACAUACUCACCACACACACACAUCAAAUGCACGUGGAAAGACAUGCCUGAGCACAUAAAGACGCACACAUGCAGACACAGGCCACGAGGGACAGACUGGGUGACCUUUCUCCAGCUCGUUUUUUUCUCUGGAUGGUGAUAGGACCCUUCCCUCCGAGGAGUGUCCCCCCGCUUGGUGCCACCCUUUCUUGCCCCAGGUGCCUGCUGCCUACCCUGCAAAAAACCAGCCAGCCUGAGCACCCACUGUCCCUGACAACCAUCUUGGCAGUGAGGAGACUAAGGCUCAGAGAGGGUGACAGCCUGGGUAAAGUCACACAGCAAAGGGACUCCACCUAGAUCCCACACCCCACCCAGAACCAACUCUUGCCUUCCUGAGCCUCUCCAGGCCCCUGUCCCCACGGCAUUGCUGCACUAGCCUCUCCCGACAAGGCACACCUGUGUACCGGGGGUAGGCAGGGCCGCCUGACCCCUGGACUCGUAGCUCAGUUUCUGCAGCCUCUAUACGAUGAAGAGAUCAGAACACCUGCCCAGGGCCAACUGGAACACAGGACACCAUCCAGGGCUGGCUGUCCUGCACAGGGGCCUGCCUUGGGCACCUGUCCAGACUCUGGAGCCCAGGAUGGUAGCCUGCCUACCUCCACUGUUGUGCUAUUCAAGCAGAGGCAAGUUGCUGGGUUCAGAAGAUGUUUAAGGGAGAGCCUCAGACAAGGACAUAAAAGCAGAGCCAAAGGCCAAGCAGCAGGCAGGAGCAGAGUCUGUGUGCCUGGCAUCUCCAGCUGAUGGGCACCUGGAGGCUAUUGAUAACAUUCUUGGCAAGGCCUUGCAGUGGUGACAGCCCCAUUGCCUGUUGUUUUCAACAAUGACCCAGUUUUGCCCCACCCCCAUCCCAAAGCCAAGGAAGCUCUGGGCCUUUCCCAGGUUAGGUCGAGAAGACUGAAAGGCCAGCCCCCUUUUCCUGGACUUAAGACCUUUCAUCAAGCCUGGACCACAGUCCUAUUGCAGCUUGCUGAUAGGUGGCCAGCCAUCAUCACUGCAUCCCAAAGCUGACACAUGCCCAACAUGCUACAGAGAAGGCCAGAGGUCAUGCAGAAAGAAAGCUCCGCAAAGGCAAGAAGAGUUUGUUCUGUUCACUGCUGUGCCCCUGCAAACGAGACUGUGCCUGAAACACAGGAGGUGCUCAAUAAAUACCUGAGCGGCUGGCUGCCUUUCUCAACCAUGGCCACCUGCACGGCACUUUCUACCUCCCCUGCCCCUCCGGCACCUGCUCCAUCAUCAGCUCCUGUCCCCAGAGCUGGAUCACCUCACGCUGCACCCUCUGGUCUUGUUCUAAGCAACUGAGAACUAACUGAGCCGAAAGGAACAGGCAUCCUGGGAACGCCCUGGGUCUGGUGUGGACUCUCAAGACAGAGGCCUCCAGGACCUGGAGAAGGGAGGCCACGGCCUCUCGCCAAUCCCUCUUCUCUUCUGGGCCUGUUUUGAAACAAAGACUGUAUUUUUUUCUGACAUCCAGAAACCGUACAAGAAAAAUACAUCUGCAAAUAAACCUGAAGCGUGGGAAGAGAGACCUCUAACACAGACGUUGCCUUAGCCUUCUCCUCGGCUUGAACUACGUGGGAAAAACCUAAAAUCUUUAUGUCUUCCCUGUAAAUCGCAACAAUUUGAAGCAACUAAAAAUUAGGACUGAUUUCCAUUAAAAAAAACAAAAACAAAAACAAAACACAACUACCAACAUUUUAACAAAGUAACUAGGGAACCUAAGAUUUUUUUCAUCCUGAAAUUCAGCAUUGCUGCAACUGUGGCUCGGAACCAAUCCUUGGCCUGACAACUCCAAAUGCCACAGGCAACCAAAAGAAAAGAGAAAAUUCAUCAAGUGGUGACACGUCUGAGUUAAAAUCAGAGAUGUACACCUUCCCU
RNAcentral lists this long non-coding RNA (3059 nucleotides) under Sus scrofa (pig). Its description in RNAcentral is "lncRNA (ENSSSCG00000062019.1)". Lineage: Eukaryota; Metazoa; Chordata; Mammalia; Artiodactyla; Suidae. The record is from RNAcentral.